Molecule: long non-coding RNA, 2408 nt
Filed under: Panax ginseng (ginseng)
Lineage: Eukaryota; Viridiplantae; Streptophyta; Magnoliopsida; Apiales; Araliaceae
Description: long non-coding RNA (PGIN_LNC018918)
Source: RNAcentral
CCAAGACAGUUAGCAAACUUCAAAGUUUGGAAGCACAACUGAAGCAAAUAAUCAGCACAGAAGUAUAACAAAAUCAAAUAUUCAGAUCCCAACUGAAGGUUCCUUCAGUCAAAAUGCGAGCAAGGUAACCAAACAUUUAUACCAAGGUAACCAAUUCAGUGUUAUUAAGUUACCAAUUUAUUUUGAAUGUGAUGCAGUUGGUAGCCAACCUUCAAGCAGUUGGUUGCCAAACUUUUUAUACCAAGGUAACCAAACUUUGUACCAAGCAGUUGGUAAGCAUCACGUAAACCUUCAUGAAAUUGGUUGCCAAACUUUUAGACCAAGGUAACAAAUUUAUACUGCAGGUGUGGAGGUAGAUUUGGUUACCUAGGUAUAAAUGUUUGGUUACCUUAGUACAAAGGUUUGGUUAUCAAUAUUACAUUACAUGCACAUUACUCUCUCAUCUCUCUCUUUCCUAUGCAGUGUUCUAUUUUUUAUUUACUUUCAUGAAUUUGGUUGCCAAACUUUUAGACCAAGGUAACAAAUUCAUACUGCAGGUGUGGAGGUAAAUUUGGUUACCUUGGUAUAAAGGUUUGGUUACCUUCGUACGAAGGUUUGUUCUAUUUUUUAUCGACUGUUGUUACAAAAUAGUUGUAAUUUCUGGUUAGGAAGAGUAGAAGAAGAAGAAGAAUCCAUGUUUGUGUGUGUGUAUGUAUUUGUCUGGUGAGCGUGAAGAAAAGAAAUAGAUGGAUGCUUUCCUUUGGAAAAUAGCGUAGUAGUAGGAAUAGUCGAAUAUUUAGAUAGAUAGAUGUAGAUGAUUAAUUUUAGAGAGAGAAAAUUGCAGGGAGUGUCUGAAAAAAGUUGGAUAGGAAAAUGGGAUGAUGAAGUGAAUGUAAAAACUGCAAAUGAAGGAAGGGACUCGCACAGAUAUAGAAGUCCAGAAAUUAAGACUCAACUUGUACUCUGUCUCUCGCCCCCAUAUUGCACGACCAUCGAGGCCUCCCUCUCUGUCUCUCUCGCCUUUGUGAAAGGCCUGUAACAAGCAUUCAAAGUUAUAAUAAUUUACGUUUACAGAUAUUUUAUUUAUUUAUUUACUUAUUUGUUAACUAUUAAAAAUAGUGUAUGUGAGGAAGAUAAAUAUUUGAAUUUGAAUUAUUAUUUUGAAUUUGAAUUAUUAUUUUGAAUUUGAAUUUGUUUUUGUUAGAUCCCAAAUAUUUGAAUUUGAAUUAUUAAUUAUGGCAGUUAUUUCUCAUUGAUUUUAAGUUUCCUUAUUAAUGUGAAUUGUACUAUUUUUGUAAGUAAUUAUUUUGUUAAUGCACUAAUAGUGUAAUUACUUUCUAAUUGUUGUAUACUUAUGUAAAGGACCCUAAAUAGAAUAGCCCAUGAAAUACUUUAUCGCCUACUUAAAGCUCCAAAGCCCAAUGGACUUAGCCCAAAUUAUUGAGAGUACCAUAAAACUUAAUCUUAAGAUGAAUAGCUUUCAUUCAUGGGCCAUACGACCCAUAAGUAAACUAUGUUUACAGUUUACUGCGAGGAACACAUACAGACGGAUAGAGAGAAGAAAAGAAAAGAAACAGCAAAUACCUGUUAUCAGGAUGAAUGGAGCAACCUUGAGAGAGGUCAUUGAGACCUUUGAAGAUAUUUUCUCUGCUGUACCUUCUCCGAGUUGAAACGGAAAUGAGUUCCAACUCAUUACUGAGUCGAGUCAAAUGAUGCGAUUUUAUUUCGUCGCUCGGAUCCUCCACCUCAUACUCCCUUAUUUCUCCUCCUUCUCCUUCUCCUUCUCCUUCAUUUCUACUGUGAAUCCUCUCUUCAUUUUCUCUAUCCUCUCUCCUUCCUGUACUUCUUCUAUUCAUCAUCAUCAUCAUUCAAUCAAUAAUAAACAUGAACGAAAUUCUGCACAGAAAUUACAUUUUGAUCGAGUCAUUUCUUCAUUCGAACAAAAAUUAAUGUUUAUCGAUUUUUCAGUAAUAGUGAUUUUGGGGGAAUGUAUAAAUUAAAUAGAAAAGAGGUUAAUCACGUUUGUAUAGGAAUUUUGAGAUAUUAGAGAUUUAGCGACAAUUCCCGCAAACAUUGAUAGGGAGGGAGUUAUAUCCACCAUACAUGAUACAUGUACGUACGGGGAGACAAAAGUACUAUAGAGAGAAGUUAUAAUUAACUGGUACUCCUUUUUCAAAGUAUUUUUAUAGACCGAUAGUGUACAUUAAAAAUGAUUUUAAAUUCAAAUUUAAAUAAAAAUAGAUAUUUAUUUACUAAAAAAAAUUCGGUAAUAAUAACAUUCCAAAACUACUAGUUUUAAGGGGAUAAAUUGCGGAAACUGUGAAAUGGCUGGGUGGGAAAAACUUUGAAAACAAGAAGAGAGUAAUAUAAAAAAAUUAAACACUUGUUUUUACUCGAUUACUCCACAUCUCAUAAUAAUUAGAAUUACA